RNAcentral lists this long non-coding RNA (666 nucleotides) under Monodelphis domestica (gray short-tailed opossum). RNAcentral describes it as "lncRNA (ENSMODG00000049175.1)". The record is from RNAcentral. Lineage: Eukaryota; Metazoa; Chordata; Mammalia; Didelphimorphia; Didelphidae.
CCAGGGCCUCAGUAUUGACCAUGACCUUGUGCUAAGUCUGGUAACAUAAAAUGAGUGGGAAUGGGAAGGUCAAGAAGAAGACAGGAUCAGAGACUUAGAACUGAACAUGAGAGUCUUAGAACUGGACCAUAUCUAACCCUUUCAUUUUAGAGAUAAAUAAACUGAGUCAUCGAGAGGCUAGGUGGUCAUCUGGGAUCACACAGCUGGGGAAGAGAGAGUGCUUCUUCUGUAGGUUCAAACCUUUUGCAUACACGCUGAGUUCCAGCUUUGCAGACCUACAAAAAUGUUUUCACCACCUUGCAGUAAAUCAACAUGAAACAGUCAGAGAAUACUACAAUGUCUUGACUUGGGGAAAGGGGCAUGUCUAAAAGCAAGCUCACCAAGCAUCCAUGUGGGUUGACAACAGAUAUACCAUAUUAUAGAUAGUUUAAUAACUACGUUCUCAUUGGCCAGUCCUCCUAUUAUAUUAUAUCCUCUCCAUUAUCUCUUUUCACGACAUUCUUGAAAGUAAUGCUAUUGCUAUAUUAAAGAAGACUUAAAGCAUAGUAGGGAGAGAUCCCUAAGCUGUUUACUGAACCAUAUUUAAACAAAAGAACCUGUCACCUUUUAAGGCUUUCUCCAACAAGAGUUGCUGCAGUCAUCACCGUUUUGUGCCAGUCAACUCCC